GGGGGUGUAGCUCAGCUGGUUAGAGCGCUGGCCUGUCACGCCAGAGGUCGCGGGUUCGAGCCCCGUCACUCCCGCCA
Molecule: transfer RNA, 77 nt
Filed under: Sebaldella termitidis
Lineage: Bacteria; Fusobacteriati; Fusobacteriota; Fusobacteriia; Fusobacteriales; Leptotrichiaceae
Also listed under: 4 other names
Description: tRNA-Asp(gtc)
Rfam family: tRNA
About the family: Transfer RNA (tRNA) molecules are approximately 80 nucleotides in length. Their secondary structure includes four short double-helical elements and three loops (D, anti-codon, and T loops).
Source: RNAcentral